CUCCAGACUCCUACGGGAGGCAGCAGUAGGGAAUUUUGCGCAAUGGGCGAAAGCCUGACGCAGCAACACCGCGUGAAUGUUAAGCCCUUCGGGGUGUAAAGUUCUGUCAGUAGGGAAGAACAAAUGACUGUACCUACAAAGGAAGCACCGACUAACUCCGUGCCAGCAGCCGCGGUAAUACGGGGGGUGCAAGCGUUGUCCGGAAUCAUUGGGCGUAAAGCGUUCGUAGGCGGUAAAGUAAGUCUGAUGUUAAAGCCCGGGGCUCAACUCCGGUUCGGCAUUGGGUACUAUCUAGCUAGAAUGUGGUAGAGGUAAAGGGAAUUCCUGGUGUAGCGGUGAAAUGCGUAGAUAUCAGGAGGAACAUCGGUGGCGAAAGCGCGUUACUGGGCCAUUAUUGACGCUGAGGAACGAAAGCCAGGGGAGCAAAUGGGAUUAGAUACCCUUGUAAA
Molecule: ribosomal RNA, 449 nt
Filed under: uncultured bacterium
Lineage: Bacteria
Description: bacterial SSU rRNA
Rfam family: Bacterial small subunit ribosomal RNA
Source: RNAcentral